Molecule: long non-coding RNA, 2257 nt
Organism: Hyaena hyaena (striped hyena)
Lineage: Eukaryota; Metazoa; Chordata; Mammalia; Carnivora; Hyaenidae
Exons: 7
Source: RefSeq, a predicted model, not a curated record
AAAUUCUAGCAGCCAUAUUAUCCUACUGCUUUUUAUGUGUUAGAGAAAACUGUUUGACCAUAUGAUUGUUGAGCAGUUUACAGACAGCCACAUAAUUAUGAUUGAGCUGUGAGUAACAGUAAUCACCCUGGCAUUUUUAAGGAGAGCAGUCAAGAGAUGCUCUCUCGAACGAUGGCAUAGAGUAUUGCAAGAGUCUAAGCAGAGUUGAUGGGUUCUGCAGUGAUGACAGUCAGCAAGAUUAUUUUCUGGGUCCAGGUAUAGAAGGUGUGACUAUAGACACAUUUGCCACAAUGUGUUUUGCAGACUCCUGUCAAGAGAUUAUGGUGAACCUCUUAAAGACUAUUAAAGGGAAUUUGCUUGUAUCAGAUUCCAGCUGUCAUGAAAUCAUGGUGCACCUAACAGUGGUCAUUAGCAGGACCUUUCUAGCAACCAAGUAAGUGAUAAAGUGGGUCUUACCUCAGCACAGACCAUGUGAUCUUCAGAUAAUCUAGGUGAGUGAGUAUGGUUUCCCUAACACAGUGUCACUUUGGUUGUCUUUUUUUGUUUAUUUUUUUUGGCAAGUGCCCUGCUAAGUCCUUUCCUAGUAUUCAGGUAUGAGAUUGUGUGGCAUUAACUCAAUAGCUGCUUGUUUUUCAUAUAUGUAAAUGAUGUUUUCAACACCAUAUUACCUAUGUUUUUGGCAUGUAUGCAGUUCAGAAAUUAACUUGACCCAAAUAGCACUAGUAAGCAUGAGAUUUUACUAUAUUCUUAUUCAGAGAUUAUGUGUUUUUAUACACUUGUAAAUAGGCGGAUAUCCAGGAAAUUGUUCAUACUGCCCAUCACCGCAUUAUUGACUGUGGCAUUUUUGCAGGUAUCCCUUCAAGAGGAAGGUGUCUCUUAUUAGGGUUUAACCCCAGAUUUCUGCCAUUAUCCAGGUUCAUGUGAAGACCUCACUAUGAGCCUGUUAAUGGUAAUUAAUGGUGUGUACAUAGCAGGUACUGAGGCAUCCUGUUCAGGUCGUUGAUAGUACACAGGUAUUCCUUCAAGAGAGGAAGGUGUAUCUUACUAGGGUUUAACCUCAGAGUUCUGGAAGUGUCCAGAACAUGCCAAGAGAUCACAGUGAGCCUGUCUAUUCCAAUUAAUGCAGAGACAUCACUGGUAUUAAGGUAAGUGAUGCUCUGGGCCUAAUCCACGACAUAGACCCCCUGAUCUUCCCAUAUUUAGGUAAGUGAUAACCUGUGCUGACACUUCCUGUUGCCGUGAUUUUGUUGCAGGCAUUCAGGUAAGAUGUAAGAAUCCUUACCAAUUCUAGAGACUACAAAUUUUUACUUUGCUGUCUUAGAUAAAACUUGUAUUUAACACUAGGAAUGUUAAGAGAUUAAAGGUAUACAGGUAUUUAUCAUGGUUUUCCCACCAUCGUACUACCCAUAGGAUUUUUACAAGGGUCCAAUCAAGAAAUGAUAGUUUUCUGACAUUGAUGUUGACCUUGGAGCAUUACAAGUAUCCAGGCAGAGUGGAUUUGUGUCAUAAUGGUGAAGGGACCAAAGUUGCUUGCAGGUGUCCUGGUAGCAAAAAGCUGUGUCCUUAAACAUAUGUUUCAUAAAUUUUUUUCAGAUUCCUGUCAAGAGCUCACAGUGAACGUAACACUGGUCAUUCAUGGGGAUGCUGCUGGUAUGCAGGUAGGGGAUGGUGUGGGCCUGAACCACAGCACAGGCCGUCUGGUCUUCAGAUAGCUAGCCGAGUGAUGGUGGUGUCCCUGACACUUGCUACCAUGACGUCUGCAGGGACGUUCAGGUAGGAACUGAUAGAUCCCUUGCCUGUGGAGAAACCAUGACUUUUCAUUUCUUAUGUUUUAGAGGGAAGUUUUGUUGAUCUCUGUGAGUGUUGAGUAGUGUCCUAUCCAGGCAGUUAUGAUGAUGUUUCCAGCUACAGUAGUGACCAUGGAAAUGUUGCAGGCAUCCUGUUAAGGAAAUGUUGUCUCAGCUGACCGUGAUCUUGAGCUUGGAAUACUACGGGCAUUCUGGUCAUACUGUGUUUUUCAGGUCCAUGUCCCGUGAUCGUGGUGAACCUAAUGGUUAGUGAUAGGCCUUCCUGGUAUCCAGGUAAGUGAUGACGUGUACCUUCCUCACAGCAGACACCAUCCAGUCUCCAUAUACUGAAGUAAGUGACGUUUGUUCUCGUUUGAUCAUGGGAUGGGGUUUUUUUGCAGGUUUUCAGGUAAGAAAUGAUGAUGUUUGGGGGCGCCUGGUUGGCUCAGUCAGAUAAGCGUCUGGCUCUU